GUAGUCUCGCACAGAUGCAUAUCAAUAAGCGGAGGAAAAGAAACUAACAAGGAUUCCCUUAGUAACGGCGAGUGAAGCGGGAAGAGCUCAAAUUUGAAAUCUUCAAAGUUUUACCUUGACGAAUUGUAGUUUAAAGAAGUGUUUUCUGUUGAAGUUUUGGUAAAAGUUCUUUGGAAUAGGACAUCAUAGAGGGUGAGAAUCCCGUAUUUGACCAUUAUUUUCAGCUGUGUGAUACACUUUCAAAGAGUCGGAUUGUUUGGGAAUGCAGUCCAAAAUGGGUGGUAAAUUUCAUCUAAAGCUAAAUAUUGGCGAGAGACCGAUAGCGAACAAGUACCGUGAGGGAAAGAUGAAAAGAACUUUGAAAAGAGAGUUAAACAGUACGUGAAAUUGUCAAAAGGGAAGCGUUUGACACCAGUGUUGUUUUCUCGAAAAUCAAUUAAAAAGAGUUUGAUUUUGUUGUGUAUUGACCUUAACAGCUUGCAUUUCAAUUUUCUUGCUUUUUUUAAUGCACUUUUCGUUUAACAAGUCAACAUCAGUUUCUUUUGUUGUAAAAAGGUCAUUGGAAGGUGGCUUUCUUUUCGGAGAAAGUGUUUAUAGCCUUUGACUCCUGCAAUCGGAGAGACUGAGGUCUGCAGCGUAGAUCCUUCGGGGUUAGAUACAUUUGUGCUAAGUUAUAGCUUUUUAUAGACAACUUGUUGACUAUGAUUAGUCUUGUAGCUUACUCGCUUAUGCUAUUUUACCUACGCUUAGGAAUGUUGAGCGCAUGUCUCUCUCU
Molecule: ribosomal RNA, 775 nt
Filed under: uncultured Neocallimastigales
Lineage: Eukaryota; Fungi; Neocallimastigomycota; Neocallimastigomycetes; Neocallimastigales
Description: partial large subunit ribosomal RNA
Rfam family: Eukaryotic large subunit ribosomal RNA
Source: RNAcentral